CGGGACGGGUGAGUAAUGUAUGGGGAUCUGCCUGAUGGCGGGGGAUAACUACUGGAAACGGUAGCUAAUACCGCAUAAUGUCUACGGACCAAAGCGGGGGACCUCCGGGCCUUGCGCCAUCAGAUGAACCCAUAUGGGAUUAGCUAGUAGGUGGGGUAACGGCUCACCUAGGCGACGAUCCCUAGCUGGUCUGAGAGGAUGACCAGCCACACUGGAACUGAGACACGGUCCAG
This 233-nucleotide ribosomal RNA is filed under the name uncultured bacterium. RNAcentral's name for it is "partial 16S ribosomal RNA". It matches the Rfam family "Bacterial small subunit ribosomal RNA", at positions 100 to 334 of the family's 1533-position model. The record is from RNAcentral.